GACGAACGCUGGCGGCGUGCUUAACACAUGCAAGUCGAACGGAAAGGCCCUGCUUUUGUGGGGUGCUCGAGUGGCGAACGGGUGAGUAACACGUGAGUAACCUGCCCUUGACUUUGGGAUAACUUCAGGAAACUGGGGCUAAUACCGGAUAGGAGCUCCUGCUGCAUGGUGGGGGUUGGAAAGUUUCGGCGGUUGGGGAUGGACGCGCGGCUUAUCAGCUUGUUGGUGGGGUAGUGGCUUACCAAGGCAUUGACGGGUAGCCGGCCUGAGAGGGUGACCGGCCACAUUGGGACUGAGAGACGGCCCAGACUCCUACGGGAGGCAGCAGUGGGGAAUAUUGCACAAUGGGCGGAAGCCUGAUGCAGCAACGCCGCGUGCGGGAUGACGGCCUUCGGGUUGUAAACCGCUUUCGCCUGUGACGAAGCGUGAGUGACGGUAAUGGGUAAAGAAGCACCGGCUAACUACGUG
Molecule: ribosomal RNA, 468 nt
Filed under: uncultured bacterium
Lineage: Bacteria
Description: partial 16S ribosomal RNA
Rfam family: Bacterial small subunit ribosomal RNA
Source: RNAcentral